GAUUUUGAUUAUACAACGAGUGUUUUAUUAAUUAGUAGAGAUAUAUAUGGUCAAUAUAUUGUCCACGAUGGUUCUAUCACCAUAUAAUAUAUAUCCCGCCUUAUUAGCAGAGAUCUCGUUUCAUUGUAGCACAUGAGCCGAUAGGCUCCCGUAGAGUUUAUGUAUUUACCAUAUAGGACCCUCGCAUUCUAGAGAAAAUGGAGAGAAAUGGUUAAAUGUAUAAGAGGUUCUAUAUGGUGAAUUCAUAAUCCCUACGAUAGUUUUAUAGCUAUCUGUUUUUGCUACAGUGAGUAUUUGCUAAGAAGGGGCUCCUCUAUAUGUAGACAUUAAUUCCAUGAUUAAUUAAUAUUUCUAAUUUAUUCUUUAUAAUAUAUUAUUGCAGUAUGGUACUACCCAAGGCAGCCUUCGUCCUCAAGAGUGUGCACCGCGAUGUACAAGUCGGUGCUCGGCUACAGCAUACAAGAAGCCUUGUUUGUUUUUCUGCCAAAAGUGUUGCGCCAAGUGCUUGUGUGUGCCUCCUGGAACAUAUGGAAACAAACAAGUUUGCCCUUGCUACAAUAACUGGAAGACCAAGAGAGGAGGACCAAAAUGUCCCUAAGGACUUUACUCCAACUUAUGCAUUCUACAUAUAUAAUAGUUAGUCAAGCUCUCUUAUAAUAUAAUUUGCAACUUAAACCUAAUAACAUGAUGUAUGCUCCAAAAUAUCCACCUUAAAAAGGUAGAGGCUUGAGGGUUCGACUAAUGUAUUAGUUAUGUGAUUUGAUAAAUAUAUAAUUGUAUUUUUUUAGAACGCUCUAA
This is a non-coding RNA of Malus domestica (apple), 798 nucleotides long. The record is from RefSeq and is a predicted model, not a curated record. Lineage: Eukaryota; Viridiplantae; Streptophyta; Magnoliopsida; Rosales; Rosaceae.